UUUUUUUUUUUAUUUUUUUGUUUUUUUUUUUUUUUGAGACAUGCAAUUUCUUUUUAGAUGUCUGAAGGUGUAUAUUAAAAAUUAUCUUUUAGAGUGUGCAUUAACAUUUUAACACAUAUGUUAUAUUGAAUACCUGCACUAUUUGGUACAAUUGAAGUUCUUGUUUAGAAAUCAUUGUGAAUUGAGGAACUUUAUUGUUGUAUCAAAAUCAGGCCAGACCACAAUUUGCAAGA
This 233-nucleotide unclassified non-coding RNA is filed under the name Hevea brasiliensis (rubber tree). The record is from RNAcentral. Lineage: Eukaryota; Viridiplantae; Streptophyta; Magnoliopsida; Malpighiales; Euphorbiaceae.